CAGCCGUAAACUAUGCUCGCUAGGUGUCAGGGACGGUGCGACCGUUUCUGGUGCCGCAGGGAAGCCGUGAAGCGAGCCACCUGGGAAGUACGGUCGCAAGGCUGAAACUUAAAGGAAUUGGCGGGGGAGCACUACAACGGGUGGAGCCUGCGGUUUAAUUGGACUCAACGCCGGGAAGCUUACCGGAUAAGACAGCGGAAUGAUUGCCGGGCUGAAGACCCUGCAUGACCAGCUGAGAGGAGGUGCAUGGCGUAGACGUCU
This 261-nucleotide ribosomal RNA is filed under the name uncultured archaeon. Its description in RNAcentral is "partial 16S ribosomal RNA". It matches the Rfam family "Archaeal small subunit ribosomal RNA", at positions 748 to 1009 of the family's 1478-position model. The record is from RNAcentral.